GGAGGGUGCGAGCGUUGUCCGGAAUCACUGGGCGUAAAGGGCGCGUAGGCGGCGCGGGCAGUCAACGGUGAAAGCUUGGGGCUCAACCCCGAGUCGGCCGUCGAUACUCCCGGGCUUGAGCACUGUAGAGGCAGGUGGAAUUCCGGGUGUAGCGGUGGAAUGCGUAGAGAUCCGGAAGAACACCGGUGGCGAAGGCGGCCUGCUGGGCAGUAGCUGACGCUGAUGCGCGACAGCGUGGGGAGCAAACAGGAUUAGAUACCCUGGUAGUCCACGCCGUAAACGAUGGGUACUAGAUGCUUGGGGGAGCGACCCUCUGAGUGUCGGCGCUAACGCAUUWAGUACCCCGCCUGGGGAGUACGGCCGCAAGGCUG
Molecule: ribosomal RNA, 371 nt
Filed under: uncultured bacterium
Lineage: Bacteria
Description: bacterial SSU rRNA
Rfam family: Bacterial small subunit ribosomal RNA
Source: RNAcentral